RNAcentral lists this ribosomal RNA (1390 nucleotides) under Pseudomonas sp. RNAcentral describes it as "bacterial SSU rRNA". It matches the Rfam family "Bacterial small subunit ribosomal RNA". The record is from RNAcentral. Lineage: Bacteria; Pseudomonadati; Pseudomonadota; Gammaproteobacteria; Pseudomonadales; Pseudomonadaceae.
GCGGUAACAGGAGGUAGCUUGCUACUUUGCUGACGAGCGGCGGACGGGUGAGUAAUGCCUAGGAAUCUGCCUAGUAGUGGGGGAUAACGUUCGGAAACGGACGCUAAUACCGCAUACGUCCUACGGGAGAAAGUGGGGGAUCUUCGGACCUCACGCUAUUAGAUGAGCCUAGGUCGGAUUAGCUAGUUGGUGAGGUAAUGGCUCACCAAGGCGACGAUCCGUAACUGGUCUGAGAGGAUGAUCAGUCACACUGGAACUGAGACACGGUCCAGACUCCUACGGGAGGCAGCAGUGGGGAAUAUUGGACAAUGGGCGAAAGCCUGAUCCAGCCAUGCCGCGUGUGUGAAGAAGGUCUUCGGAUUGUAAAGCACUUUAAGUUGGGAGGAAGGGCAGUAAAUUAAUACUUUGCUGUUUUGACGUUACCGACAGAAUAACACCGGCAACUCUGUGCCAGCAGCCGCGGUAAUACAGAGGGUGCAAGCGUUAAUCGGAAUUACUGGGCGUAAAGCGCGCGUAGGCGGUUUGUUAAGUUGGAUGUGAAAGCCCCGGGCUCAACCUGGGAACUGCAUCCAAACUGGCAAGCUAGAGUACAGUAGAGGGUGGUGGAAUUUCCUGUGUAGCGGUGAAAUGCGUAGAUAUAGGAAGGAACACCAGUGGCGAAGGCGACCACCUGGACUGAUACUGACGCUGAGGUGCGAAAGCGUGGGGGAGCAAACAGGAUUAGAUACCCUGGUAGUCCACGCCGUAAACGAUGUCAACUAGCCGUUGGAUUCCUUGAGAAUUUAGUGGCGCAGCUAACGCAUUAAGUUGACCGCCUGGGGAGUACGGCCGCAAGGUUAAAACUCAAAUGAAUUGACGGGGGCCCGCACAAGCGGUGGAGCAUGUGGUUUAAUUCGAAGCAACGCGAAGAACCUUACCUGGCCUUGACAUGCUGAGAACUUUCUAGAGAUGGAUUGGUGCCUUCGGGAACUCAGACACAGGUGCUGCAUGGCGUGUCAGCUCGUGUCGUGAGAUGUUGGGUUAAGUCCCGUAACGAGCGCAACCCUUGUCCUUAGUUACCAGCAGUAAUGGUGGGAACUCUAAGGAGACUGCCGGUGACAAACCGGAGGAAGGUGGGGAUGACGUCAAGUCAUCAUGGCCCUUACGGCCAGGGCUACACACGUGCUACAAUGGUCGGUACAAAGGGUUGCCAAGCCGCGAGGUGGAGCUAAUCCCAUAAAACCGAUCGUAGUCCGGAUCGCAGUCUGCAACUCGACUGCGUGAAGUCGGAAUCGCUAGUAAUCGUGAAUCAGAAUGUCACGGUGAAUACGUUCCCGGGCCUUGUACACACCGCCCGUCACACCAUGGGAGUGGGUUGCACCAGAAGUAGCUAGUCUAACCUUCGGGGGGA